UUGGAGGGCAAGUCUGGUGCCAGUAGCCGCGGUAAUUCCAGCUCCAAUAGCGUAUAUUGAAGUUGUUGCAGUUAAAAAGCUCGUAGUUGAAUUUUGGACCUGAUCAGGUGGUCUUGCCGCAAGGUAAGCACUGCUUUGGUCGGGUCUUUCCUUCUGGGGAACCAACGUGCGCUUAGUUGAGUGCGUUGGGGAUCCAGGACUUUUACUUUGAAAAAAUUAGAGUGUUUAAAGCAGGC
Molecule: ribosomal RNA, 236 nt
Filed under: uncultured Chytridiomycota
Lineage: Eukaryota; Fungi; Chytridiomycota
Description: partial 18S rRNA
Rfam family: Eukaryotic small subunit ribosomal RNA
Source: RNAcentral